This 210-nucleotide unclassified non-coding RNA is filed under the name soil metagenome. RNAcentral describes it as "partial contains 5.8S ribosomal RNA, internal transcribed spacer 2, and large subunit ribosomal RNA". The record is from RNAcentral.
AACCUUAUGGACCUGCGGGCGUAUACCUGCGGAAGGAUCAUUACCGAGUUUACAACUCCCAAACCCCUGUGAACAUACCUAUACGUUGCCUCGGCGGAUCAGCCCGCGCCCUGUAAAAAGGGACGGCCCGCCCGAGGACCCUAAACUCUGUUUUUAGUGGAACUUCUGAGUAAAACAAACAAAUAAAUCAAAACUUUUAGCAAUGGAUCU